RNAcentral lists this ribosomal RNA (462 nucleotides) under uncultured bacterium. RNAcentral's name for it is "partial 16S ribosomal RNA". It matches the Rfam family "Bacterial small subunit ribosomal RNA", at positions 28 to 507 of the family's 1533-position model. The record is from RNAcentral.
GACGAACGCUGGCGGCGUGCUUAACACAUGCAAGUCGAACGGUAAGGCCUUUCGGGGUACACGAGUGGCGAACGGGUGAGUAACACGUGGGUGAUCUGCCCUGCACUUCGGGAUAAGCCCGGGAAACUGGGUCUAAUACCGGAUAGGACUGCGCGGUGCAUGCCGUGUGGUGGAAAGAUUUAUCGGUGCAGGAUGGGCCCGCGGCCCAUCAGGUUGUUGGUGGGGUAAUGGCCUACCAAGGCGACGACGGGUAGCCGGCCUGAGAGGGCGACCGGCCACACUGGGACUGAGACACGGCCCAGACUCCUACGGGAGGCAGCAGUGGGGAAUAUUGCACAAUGGGCGCAAGCCUGAUGCAGCGACGCCGCGUGAGGGAUGACGGCCUUCGGGUUGUAAACCUCUUUCAGCAGGGACGAAGCGUGAGUGACGGUACCUGCAGAAGAAGCACCGGCCAACUACGUG